This is a non-coding RNA of Trametes coccinea BRFM310, 83 nucleotides long. Lineage: Eukaryota; Fungi; Basidiomycota; Agaricomycetes; Polyporales; Polyporaceae. The record is from the annotation of a GenBank genome assembly.
ACGCCGAUGGUGAAGUGGUUAUCAUGCUUGCCUUCCACUUCUGGUGUUAGCAAGCGGCACGGGUUCGAUUCCCGUUCGGCGUA